Molecule: ribosomal RNA, 468 nt
Filed under: uncultured bacterium
Lineage: Bacteria
Description: bacterial SSU rRNA
Rfam family: Bacterial small subunit ribosomal RNA
Source: RNAcentral
AGUUUGAUCCUGGCUCAGAACGAACGCUGGCGGCAUGCCUAACACAUGCAAGUCGAACGAAGGCUUCGGCCUUAGUGGCGCACGGGUGCGUAACGCGUGGGAAUCUGCCCUUGGGUUCGGAAUAAUAGCGGGAAGCUGCUGCUAAUACCGGAUGAUGUCGAUAAGACCAAAGAUUUAUCGCCUGAGGAUGAGCCCGCGUUGGAUUAGGUAGUUGGUGGGGUAAAGGCCUACCAAGCCGACGGUCCAUAGCUGGUCUGAGAGGAUGAUCAGCCACACUGGGACUGAGACACGGCCCAGACUCCUACGGGAGGCAGCAGUGGGGAAUAUUGGACAAUGGGCGAAAGCCUGAUCCAGCAAUGCCGCGUGGGUGAUGAAGGCCUUAGGGUUGUAAAGCUCUUUUACCCGGGAUGAUAAUGACAGUACCGGGAGAAUAAGCCCCGGCUAACUCCGUGCCAGCAGCCGCGGUAA